CUCUGGCAACCAGCAUUCUACUCUCUACGUCUAUAAAUUUGACUUUUUAAGAUUCUGUAUAUAAGUGAAAUCAUGUGGUAUUUUUUUUUGCCUGGCUAUUUCACGAUUAUUAUUUGUCAAUUAACAAUAACAUUUUAAAUAAAUCUUUUAAAAAACUAAACACUCCUCCCCAAAAAUAGACCAAGACGAUUAUUAAUUCAUAAGUACACACAAAUGACAAUAGAAUAACUGAUGAUGUCAUAAAUAACUGAGACCAGAAGUAACAGAGAAGGGUUCAUAAAGACACAGGUUUGAGUAGGCAUAAAGGAAAACCAUGAGUUUAACAAAUGGGGUAGACUAGAGGAUAUGUGGAACCUGCAGAUGCAGGGGACUGACUUAAGAAACGAGGAUCCACAGACACUGACAUCCAUGGGUCUUAUUAGUGCUUUGUUCCUUCAGGUGUGGUCCUUGGACCAGCAACAUCAGUAUCUAUAUCACCUGAGAGCUUGUUAAACAUUCAGAAAUUGAGAGCCCACGCAACAUCUACAGAAUCAGAAUCUACAUUUCUACAAGAUACUCUGGAAUUCAUACCUAAAUUUUGUGGUUUGAGAAGUCCUGUAGUGCAGGUGAGUAAAUCAUCCAUUCACAAUUUCUUAAAUCUAUCUGAUCAAAUAAACCUCUUCCCCAUGU
This 669-nucleotide long non-coding RNA is filed under the name Pan troglodytes (chimpanzee). Its description in RNAcentral is "lncRNA (ENSPTRG00000053773.1)". Lineage: Eukaryota; Metazoa; Chordata; Mammalia; Primates; Hominidae. The record is from RNAcentral.